CUCCGGGGGCAAGAGGUUCGACUCGAGCGACGCGAGAGAACGUUGCGUCAGCAACGGCCCGCAGGGCGAGCCACGCAGUGGCGAGUCAUCCUCUCCUGGCCUGCU
RNAcentral lists this small RNA (105 nucleotides) under Salmonella enterica. RNAcentral describes it as "partial RtT sRNA". It matches the Rfam family "RtT RNA", at positions 30 to 130 of the family's 130-position model. From Rfam's summary of the family: This family represents a bacterial cis-regulatory element known as RtT RNA. The exact function of RtT is unknown although it is thought that it may be involved in changing the cellular response in relation to amino acid starvation. Lineage: Bacteria; Pseudomonadati; Pseudomonadota; Gammaproteobacteria; Enterobacterales; Enterobacteriaceae. The record is from RNAcentral.